UAUUGGCAAAUGAUGCAACGCAUAGUUCAGCUGAAAAGGCUUGAAUGGAGCCUUGUUGAUUAUUCUUUAAAAUAGUCUUUCGCUCCUAUCUGAUGCCAAUA
Molecule: non-coding RNA, 101 nt
Organism: Picea glauca (white spruce)
Lineage: Eukaryota; Viridiplantae; Streptophyta; Pinopsida; Pinales; Pinaceae
Source: Rfam